Molecule: non-coding RNA, 85 nt
Filed under: Dendrosporobacter quercicolus
Lineage: Bacteria; Bacillati; Bacillota; Negativicutes; Selenomonadales; Sporomusaceae
Description: c-di-GMP-I riboswitch aptamer
Rfam family: c-di-GMP-I riboswitch aptamer
About the family: GEMM was predicted in a large-scale screen for bacterial structured RNA regulatory elements.
Source: Rfam by way of RNAcentral
AAGAAUUACGGGCAAACCUAGCGAAAGCCAGGGACGCAAAGCUAUGGGUCUAAAAACAGUUGUUGAUGACUGCCAGGCUGCAAUC